This is a long non-coding RNA of Oxyura jamaicensis (ruddy duck), 1693 nucleotides long. RefSeq lists it as uncharacterized. The transcript is spliced from 3 exons. The record is from RefSeq and is a predicted model, not a curated record. Lineage: Eukaryota; Metazoa; Chordata; Aves; Anseriformes; Anatidae.
ACAUCACAGACAGCACUGCACGAGCACCUCUGCUCUUGUACAAAAGCAGACCCCUCUCAGCCCCAGAGAUUUCCACGCAGUUGUAUUUAUUAUUUGUCCAGAAAUGGAUUGGCUACAUAGACCAGGCUUCAAGAAAAAGUUCACAGUGCAGUCAAUACCUGAGUACCCUUGUGAAUGCUGCUUGCUGGUGCCCAGCAUUCCCUCUAGCAGAGUCUAUCAGGCCUGACGCCGACCACAACCAUUCGCCUUCCGUCACGGACUCGGGCAGCCAAAUGAGGAAAAGUCAAACUGCGCUUUGAGCAGUGGGACACCUUACUGGUACGACUGGAGAGAACAGAACGGAUGUCUGUUCUUAGGGACUCAUUUUGAUAUUGGUAAUUGAAAUCUCUGUGCUCAGUUCAACACAUCAGUCUCCUAAAUUGCACAAUACAUUUUUAGAACAGCCUGUGAGGCUUGAAAGAAACCAACACAGAAGCUUACAGCCCUGUUUCUCCUGCCUAUCUCAAACACAUCCUGGCAAAGUAGGCUCUGUACCACGGCAGAAAGGCCUUCUGCAUCAAUGAGAAGCAGGCAAGCAGACCACAAGUGAUGGGGAACCACACAAAGGGAGAGAGGCCACAGUACAAUCUACAGCUUCUUUCCUAGCUGUCAGAGGUAGGCAUAAAACAUCUGGUGCACCGGUCAAAUCUGUGAUUCAGAAACAGAUUUGCCCAUGGGAGCAGCACAGAGAGAACGCUUUCCCCAAACAAAGACAGCUGUUCCAGAGAGGACCUUCUUUCAGAGCUGGAGCUCCAAGUGAAGAAGGUUUUACAAUGCACUGGGAUGCAGCCCUAGACCCUUCCUCAGCAGCAUCACUGUCACCCUAUAAGUCAAAGGCAGAUGGUUGAGAUCCACUCCAGGUCCCUCAUAUCCACUCUUCACUCUAGCAGUGUUGUUUAGCCACUUUGAAAGAGCAGCCCAACAUCCUGCAAGACCGCAUCUCUUCCCCCCAUCAUCACCUGCCAACCACCUGGUGGGGAACCAUCUUCCAGUAGGAGAGGACUAUUGCGGAUGCAUGGCAAAAUUUGGGUGGCUCACAGAAUUCAUUUUACAACAUCUACUUCUAAGAAGUGCUGCAGGCUACUGCAGUGGAUUUGCUACCGGUGUGGGACCAAAUUAGACUUCGCUUGGCAAGGUGCUGAGGUGUUUGCUGGGCUAGUGAUAGGAGGCUGGUUUUGCAUAAAAGACUGGGAGUUAGUUUGAGAUGUCCCAUGCACUUAGCAAAGGAUAAUUUAACCUCUGCGUCCUUGCAGAGGAGGAGGAGACUUGCAAGUGUAAAUCUUGGGACAUGCAAAGCUGUUAUGCUCUGCUGACUUGGAACAGCAUUGAUCAGUUUGUGCUAGCUGCAGAUCUGGUGAGGAAACUUUAAGUACAGCAGAUUGAUUGCUACCAAGGGACGAAUUCCCCAUAGCUAUUCGGAUUCAAGCCUUAAAGUGCUGGCAUAUUGAUCUGUUUAUGGUGAUUUAUUAGUUACAGCCCUGUACCCCAAACUCUCUCGCACAGUUAUAUGAGUAAAAAAGCAUACUAUUGCUAGCUUAACUCAUUUUUUUUUCCAGUGGAUAGCACAACCAGUAUAUAAAGCUCCACACUGGUUGGGCAGCCCACAGUAGGGCAGGGGAAGCAAAGAGGCACUUAAUGACUACAGGGAAGCCUG